This is a non-coding RNA of Acanthosepion pharaonis, 83 nucleotides long. The record is from the annotation of a GenBank genome assembly. Lineage: Eukaryota; Metazoa; Mollusca; Cephalopoda; Sepiida; Sepiidae.
UCAUUCAAUCACCAAAGUUAAGCAAUGCAGAGCCUGGUCAGUACAUAGAUGGGUGACAGCUUGGGAAUACUAGGUGCUGUACG